This 444-nucleotide ribosomal RNA is filed under the name uncultured prokaryote. RNAcentral describes it as "bacterial SSU rRNA". It matches the Rfam family "Bacterial small subunit ribosomal RNA", at positions 355 to 796 of the family's 1533-position model. The record is from RNAcentral.
UGAGGAAUAUUGGACAAUGGAGGCAACUCUGAUCCAGCCAUGCCGCGUGCAGGAUGACUGCCCUAUGGGUUGUAAACUGCUUUUAUACAGGAAGAAACCUUCUCUCGUGAGAGGAGCUGACGGUACUGUAAGAAUAAGGAUCGGCUAACUCCGUGCCAGCAGCCGCGGUAAUACGGAGGAUCCAAGCGUUAUCCGGAAUCAUUGGGUUUAAAGGGUCCGCAGGCGGGCUAUUAAGUCAGAGGUGAAAGUUUGCCGCUCAACGGUAAAAUUGCCUUUGAUACUGAUAGUCUUGAAUUAUUGUGAAGUGGUUAGAAUAUGUAGUGUAGCGGUGAAAUGCAUAGAUAUUACAUAGAAUACCGAUUGCGAAGGCAGAUCACUAACAAUAUAUUGACGCUGAGGGACGAAAGCGUGGGUAGCGAACGGGAUUAGAUACCCGUGUAGUCC